This 301-nucleotide ribosomal RNA is filed under the name uncultured bacterium. Its description in RNAcentral is "partial 16S ribosomal RNA". It matches the Rfam family "Bacterial small subunit ribosomal RNA", at positions 509 to 807 of the family's 1533-position model. The record is from RNAcentral.
CAGCCGCCGCGGGAAUACGAGGGGGGCAAGCGUUGUUCGGAAUUAUUGGGCGUAAAGGGCGCGUAGGCGGUUUGGCAAGUUUGGUGUGAAAUCUUCGGGCUCAACUCGAAGUCUGCAUCGAAAACUGCCGGGCUUGAGUAUGGGAGAGGUGAGUGGAAUUUCCGGUGUAGCGGUGAAAUGCGUAGAUAUCGGAAGGAACACCUGUGGCGAAAGCGGCUCACUGGACCAUAACUGACGCUGAGGCGCGAAAGCUAGGGGAGCAAACAGGAUUAGAUACCCGCGUAGUCCCUGUCUCUUAUAC